Molecule: long non-coding RNA, 621 nt
Filed under: Homo sapiens (human)
Lineage: Eukaryota; Metazoa; Chordata; Mammalia; Primates; Hominidae
Description: non-protein coding lnc-RNF149-3:1
Source: RNAcentral
UAGCAGGAUUGGAAGCUUCAUGCCAUGGGAGCUGUCAAGAAAGGCAUCCCAAAGAGAACUGAAAUUUAAAAAUAAUAAUAGACCUUCAGGAAUAGGUGAUUUGAAGAUAUUAAAGCUAGAAAUUGGAACUAGAAAAUCAAAAGAAUUCAAGGCAUCUUAACGUGACAGUUGAACUCAUUUGAUUAUACUUAAAAAAGUUUAUUGCAGUUAUUGACUCUCAAUUUUUUUUUUUUUUUUUUGAGUGCAGUGGUGCCAUUGUUGCUCACUGCAGCCUCAAUCUUCCAGGCUCAAGAAAUCCUCCCACCUCAGCUUCCAGAGUAGCUGGGACUACAGGUGCAUGCCACACCCUGAUAAUUUUUUUUUCCCCAAUAUAAACGAGGUCUUGCUAUGUCCUCCAGUCUGGUCUUGAACUCAAGUGAUCCACCCACCUUGGCCUCCCAAAGUGCUGGGAUUACAGGCGUGAGCCACCAAACCCAGCCACCAAUUUUACUUUAGGUAAACUUUUAUUUUCAAGCUUUUGUUGGUGUUGCAAGUGUAAAUCUGUUUUAUAAAAUGUUCUAUAAAUAUAACCACUAUUCCUUGUAAGCUAUUUAAAAUAAAUUUUAAAGUCUUUCAAGUAAA